RNAcentral lists this ribosomal RNA (752 nucleotides) under uncultured Comamonadaceae bacterium. Its description in RNAcentral is "bacterial SSU rRNA". It matches the Rfam family "Bacterial small subunit ribosomal RNA", at positions 28 to 774 of the family's 1533-position model. The record is from RNAcentral. Lineage: Bacteria; Pseudomonadati; Pseudomonadota; Betaproteobacteria; Burkholderiales; Comamonadaceae.
AUUGAACGCUGGCGGCAUGCCUUACACAUGCAAGUCGAACGGCAGCACGGGAGCAAUCCUGGUGGCGAGUGGCGAACGGGUGAGUAAUACAUCGGAACGUGCCCAAUCGUGGGGGAUAACGCAGCGAAAGCUGUGCUAAUACCGCAUACGAUCUACGGAUGAAAGCAGGGGAUCGCAAGACCUUGCGCGAAUGGAGCGGCCGAUGGCAGAUUAGGUAGUUGGUGAGGUAAAGGCUCACCAAGCCGUCGAUCUGUAGCUGGUCUGAGAGGACGACCAGCCACACUGGGACUGAGACACGGCCCAGCCUCCUACGGGAGGCAGCAGUGGGGAAUUUUGGACGAUGGGCGAAAGCCUGAUCCAGCCAUGCCGCGUGCAGGAUGAAGGCCUUCGGGUUGUAAACUGCUUUUGUACGGAACGAAACGGCCUUUUCUAAUAAAGAGGGCUAAUGACGGUACCGUAAGAAUAAGCACCGGCUAACUACGUGCCAGCAGCCGCGGUAAUACGUAGGGUGCAAGCGUUAAUCGGAAUUACUGGGCGUAAAGCGUGCGCAGGCGGUUAUGUAAGACAGUUGUGAAAUCCCCGGGCUCAACCUGGGAACUGCAUCUGUGACUGCAUAGCUAGAGUACGGUAGAGGGGGAUGGAAUUCCGCGUGUAGCAGUGAAAUGCGUAGAUAUGCGGAGGAACACCGAUGGUGAAGGCAAUCCCCCUGGACCUGUACUGACGCUCAUGCACGAAAGCGUGGGGAGCAAACA